UACGUAGGGUGCGAGCGUUGUCCGGAAUUACUGGGCGUAAAGAGCUCGUAGGUGGUUUGUCGCGUUGUCCGUGAAAACUCACAGCUCAACUGUGGGCGUGCGGGCGAUACGGGCAGACUGGAGUACUGCAGGGGAGACUGGAAGUUCCUGGUGUAGCGGUGGAAUGCGCAGAUAUCAGGAGGAACACCGAUGGCGAAGGCAGGUCUCUGGGCAUUAACUGACGCUGAGGAGCGAAAGCAUGGGGAGCGAACAGG
Molecule: ribosomal RNA, 254 nt
Filed under: uncultured bacterium
Lineage: Bacteria
Description: partial 16S ribosomal RNA
Rfam family: Bacterial small subunit ribosomal RNA
Source: RNAcentral